Molecule: RNA transcript, 505 nt
Organism: Lemur catta (Ring-tailed lemur)
Lineage: Eukaryota; Metazoa; Chordata; Mammalia; Primates; Lemuridae
Gene name: high mobility group nucleosome-binding domain-containing protein 3-like
Exons: 1
Source: RefSeq, a predicted model, not a curated record
UGUUGCUUAACUUUUUGCUGCACCGACAUAGUCAUUAUGCCAAAGAGAAAGUCUCCAGAGAAUACAGAGGGCAAAGAUGGAUCCAAAGUAACUAAACAGGAGCCCACAAGAUGAUCUGCCAGAUUAUCAGCAAAACCUGCUCCACCAAAACCCAAACCUAAACCAAGAAAAACAUCUGCUAAGAAACAACCUAGAACAAAGCUUAACAGAGGUGCUAAAGGGAAGAAGGAGGAAAAGCAGGAAGCUGGAAAGGCAGGCACAGAAAACUGAAUCUAUAGAUAACAAGGGAGAAUGAAUUGUCGUGAAAAAUUGGGGUUGAUUUUAUGUAUCUCUUGGGACAACUUUUAAAAGCUAUUUUUACCAAGUAUUUUGUAAAUGCUAAUUUUUUAGGACUCUACUAGUUGGCAUAGAAAUAUAUAUAAAGAUGGACGUUUUACCCUCUCAUAGUCAUGCUUUUUGGAAAUUUCCAUCAUCCUCCAACAAAAUAAAUAUCAAUUUAAUAUUG